GAUAAGCGGAACUUACAGAAUCGGCUGGAGAUCAAGUUGAUGCAGCCCCGCCAACCCGUACGAACUCGUGAAAAGAAGAAAAGUAUUGGCGAAAUCGCCUGCUUGAAAGUAAAGUGCGAGGAAAUAGUAGUUUAUUGUAUUGAUUUGAUGAUGAUUAUAGAUCUAUGAAGGCGGCUAUUUAUAGCCUGUUACAACAAAUCUCUUAACCGACUAGGACUCUAUCUCUAAUUUUAAACGAAAACGAAUAUUUACAAGUAGGAUUCAUAUCGAAGUUGACUUCUCUGUUCCGUGGGCCGACCCCUUUUAAUCCUCGUGAUCUACUCUGAGCCCAUAUCAGCCCAACUAUUCCAACCUCUCGAUCGGCCGAUUUCCAUCAACCCCCUUCGCCGAAAC
Molecule: long non-coding RNA, 393 nt
Filed under: Setaria viridis
Lineage: Eukaryota; Viridiplantae; Streptophyta; Magnoliopsida; Poales; Poaceae
Description: long non-coding RNA (SVIR_LNC008810)
Source: RNAcentral